GGACAACAGUUGGAAACGACUGCUAAUACCGCAUAAGACCACGAUACGGCAUCGUAUUGAGGUCAAAGGAGCAAUCCGCUGAAAGAUGGCCUCGCGUCCGAUUAGCUAGAUGGUGAGGUAACGGCCCACCAUGGCGACGAUCGGUAGCCGGACUGAGAGGUUGAUCGGCCACAUUGGGACUGAGACACGGCCCAGACUCCUACGGGAGGCAGCAGUGGGGAAUAUUGCACAAUGGAGGAAACUCUGAUGCAGCGACGCCGCGUGAGGGAAGAAGGUCUUCGGAUUGUAAACCUCUGUUGUCAGGGACGAUAAUGACGGUACCUGACGAGGAAGCCACGGCUAACUAC
RNAcentral lists this ribosomal RNA (347 nucleotides) under uncultured bacterium. RNAcentral's name for it is "bacterial SSU rRNA". It matches the Rfam family "Bacterial small subunit ribosomal RNA", at positions 141 to 504 of the family's 1533-position model. The record is from RNAcentral.